GUAAGCCCCGUUCCUUUUUAUUUUUUUGCUUCUUCUUUAUUAAUAUUAUUUUUAUCGUUUGCGUUUGGGGUCUUAAAUCAUAUGAAUUUACUUUGAGAAGCACAUCUGACGGUAAAAGUUCCUAGAGCUGACCAAAGUCCUUUCUUGCCCGGGGAUCAGGAAACCCCUUUUUACGACUGACGAAGCUAACUGCCUUUACUUUGGCGGAACCUAAACCCUGGCCAAGAUACGCUCCCAAAUCUCCGACGUUUUAUCUCCUGUACUCCAUUUUCCGGAGUAAGAAUCUAUAUUGUAAGACCAGCUGCUGAGUUUAAUAAGUCAAAUUAAAUUCAUGAUAAAGAGACGUACGGAGAUUCAGGCUCUUAGUUUGUUAAAAGGUCGAAGCUUUCAAGUUUCAAUUGUCGAUUCCAUAAUAGAGUUUCUGGCAGCUGGCACCGGCGGCACAUCAUCGGAUUUGACUGCAGAUUUACAUACUCCAUCAGAAUGGACAGAAUCAAUUCACCCAGGUUAAUUUAAGUACCGAAAAUAAUCUGUUGAUUCAAAGAGUUGAAUAAAAAACUCCGUGUAAAUUCAUUCUGUCGAAUUGAUAUCCGAUAAAAGAUGGAAAUAACCGUCGUAUAAAAUUGUAGCAGAAAAAUAGCACGUGUAGAAAAAGAGAGAGACCUUCAGUACAUCUGAUAAAUUUUCAAUCGGGUAAAUUGUGAAAGGGUCUGCGGAACAAGGUUAAAAAUCGAUGCCUACGGCAAUCUGCUGUUGGAUGAAAGAGUACAAGAAAGAAGUUGGGUCUCAGGUAGAGCAGCGUUAUGUGAAUUUACCAGCAGAAGUCGAGCCAACUUGUGCAGUACUUGGCUGGGAAUCCAGGAAGACUACAACCAGAAGCAGAACCAGAAGCAGAACCAGGUAUAAG
Cotesia glomerata is the source of this 907-nucleotide long non-coding RNA. RefSeq lists it as uncharacterized. The record is from RefSeq and is a predicted model, not a curated record. The transcript has 3 exons. Lineage: Eukaryota; Metazoa; Arthropoda; Insecta; Hymenoptera; Braconidae.